GCCAUUGGAAUUAAUUUAAACACUAUUUUACAGUCUGCUCCUCUGUUCAGUACUCUCCUCCUCCUCCUCUGUUCAGUAUUCUUCUCCUCCUCCUCUGUUCAGUAUUCUUCUUCUCCUCCUCUGUUCAGUAUUCUUCUCCUCCUCCUCCUCUGUUCAGUAUUCUUCUUCUCCUCCUCUGUUCAGUAUUCUUCUUCUCCUCCUCUGUUCAUUAUUCUUCUCCUCCUCCUCUGUUCAGUACUCUCCUCCUCCUCCUCUGUUCAGUAUUCUUCUUCUCCUCCUCCUCUGUUCAGUAUUCUUCUUCUCCUCCUCUGUUCAGUAUUCUUCUCCUCCUCCUCCUCUGUUCAGUAUUCUUCUUCUCCUCCUCUGUUCAGUAUUCUUCUCCUCCUCCUCCUCUGUUCAGUAUUCUUCUUCUCCUCCUCUGUUCAGUAUUCUUCUUCUCCUCCUCUGUUCAGUAUUCUUCUCCUCCUCCUCUGUUCAGUAUUCUUCUCCUCCUCCUCCUCUGUUCAGUAUUCUUCUCCUCCUCCUCUGUUCAGUAUUCUUCUCCUCCUCCUCCUCUGUUCAGUAUUCUUCUUCUCCUCCUCUGUUCAGUAUUCUUCUCCUCCUCCUCUGUUCAGUAUUCUUCUCCUCCUCCUCUGUUCAGUAUUCUUCUUCUUCUCCUCCUCCUCUGUUCAGUAUUCUUCUCCUCCUCCUCUGUUCAGUAUUCUUCUCCUCCUCCUCCUCUGUUCAGUAUUCUUCUUCUCCUCCUCUGUUCAGUAUUCUUCUCCUCCUCCUCUGUUCAGUAUUCUUCUUCUUCUCCUCCUCCUCUGUUCAGUAUUCUUCUUCUUCUCCUCCUCCUCUGUUCAUUAUUCUUCUCCUCCUCCUCUGUUCAGUAUUCUUCUCCUCCUCCUCUGUUCAGUAUUCUUCUUCUUCUCCUCCUCUGUUCAUUAUUCUUCUUCUCCUCCUCUGUUCAGUAUUCUUCUUCUCCUCCUCUGUUCAUUAUUCUUCUCCUCCUCCUCUGUUCAGUAUUCUUCUUCUCCUCCUCUGUUCAUUAUUCUUCUCCUCCUCCUCUGUUCAGUAUUCUUCUUCUCCUCCUCCUCCUCUGUUCAGUAUUCUUCUCCUCCUCCUCUGUUCAGUAUUCUUCUCCUCCUCCUCGGUUCAGUAUUCUUCUCCUCCUCCUCUGUUCAGUAUUCUUCUUCUUCUUCUCCUCCUCUGUUCAGUAUUCUUCUUCUUCUCCUCCUCCUCUUUUCAGUAUUCUUCUCCUCCUCCUCUGUUCAGUAUUCUUCUCCUCCUCUGUUCAGUAUUCUUUUCCUCCUCCUCUGUUCAGUAUUCUUCUUCUUCUCCUCUGUUCAGUAUUCUUCUUCUUCUUCUCCUCCUCUGUUCAGUAUUCUUCUUCUCCUCCUCCUCUGUUCAGUAUUCUUCUUCUUCUCCUCCUCUGUUCAGUAUUCUUCUUCUCCUCCUCCUCCUCUGUUCAGUAUUCUUCUUCUCCUCCUCUGUUCAGCAUUCUUCUUCUUCUUCUCCUCCUCUGUUCAGUAUUCUUCUUCUCCUCCUCUGUUCAGUAUUCUUCUUCUCCUCCUCUGUUCAGUAUUCUUCUUCUCCUCCUCUGUUCAGUAUUCUUCUUCUUCUUCUCCUCCUCUGUUCAGUAUUCUUCUUCUUCUCCUCCUCUGUUCAGUAUUCUUCUUCUCCUCCUCCUCCUCUGUUCAGUAUUCUUCUUCUCCUCCUCUGUUCAGUAUUCUUCUUCUUCUUCUCCUCCUCUGUUCAGUAUUCUUCUUCUCCUCCUCCUCUGUUCAGUAUUCUUCUUCUUCUCCUCCUCUGUUCAGUAUUCUUCUUCUCCUCCUCCUCCUCUGUUCAGUAUUCUUCUUCUCCUCCUCCUCUGUUCAGUAUUCUUCUUCUCCUCCUCCUCCUCUGUUCAGUAUUCUUCUUCUCCUUCUCCUCCUCUGUUCAGUAUUCUUCUUCUUCUUCUCCUCCUCUGUUCAGUAUUCUUCUUCUCCUCCUCCUCUGUUCAGUAUUCUUCUUCUCCUCCUCCUCUGUUCAGUAUUCUUCUUCUCCUCCUCUGUUCAGUAUUCUUCUUCUUCUCCUCCUCCUCUGUUCAGUAUUCUUCUUCUUCUCCUCCUCCUCCUCUGUUCAGUAUUCUUCUUCUCCUCCUCCUCCUCUGUUCAGUAUUCUUCUUCUUCUCCUCCUCCUCUGUUCAGUAUUCUUCUUCUUCUUCUCCUCUGUUCAGUAUUCUUCUUCUCCUCCUCUGUUCAGUAUUCUUCUUCUCCUCCUCCUCCUCUGUUCAGUAUUCUUCUUCUUCUUCUCCUCCUCUGUUCAGUAUUCUUCUUCUUCUCCUCCUCCUCUGUUCAGUAUUCUUCUUCUUCUCCUCCUCCUCCUCUGUUCAGUAUUCUUCUUCUCCUCCUCCUCCGUUCAGUAUUCUUCUUCUUCUCCUCCUCCUCUGUUCAGUAUUCUUCUUCUUCUUCUCCUCUGUUCAGUAUUCUUCUUCUCCUCCUCUGUUCAGUAUUCUUCUUCUCCUCCUCCUCCUCUGUUCAGUAUUCUUCUUCUUCUCCUCCUCCUCUGUUCAGUAUUCUUCUUCUUCUCCUCCUCCUCCUCUGUUCAGUAUUCUUCUUCUCCUCCUCCUCCGUUCAGUAUUCUUCUUCUUCUCCUCCUCCUCUGUUCAGUAUUCUUCUUCUUCUUCUCCUCUGUUCAGUAUUCUUCUUCUCCUCCUCUGUUCAGUAUUCUUCUUCUUCUUCUCCUCCUCUGUUCAGUAUUCUUCUUCUUCUCCUCCUCCUCUUUUCAGUAUUCUUCUCCUCCUCCUCUGUUCAGUAUUCUUCUCCUCCUCUGUUCAGUAUUCUUUUCCUCCUCCUCUGUUCAGUAUUCUUCUUCUUCUCCUCCUCCUCUGUUCAGUAUUCUUCUUCUCCUCCUCUGUUCAGUAUUCUUCUUCUUCUUCUCCUCCUCUGUUCAGUAUUCUUCUUCUCCUCCUCCUCUGUUCAGUAUUCUUCUUCUUCUCCUCCUCUGUUCAGUAUUCUUCUUCUCCUCCUCCUCCUCUGUUCAGUAUUCUUCUUCUCCUCCUCUGUUCAGCAUUCUUCUUCUUCUUCUCCUCCUCUGUUCAGUAUUCUUCUUCUCCUCCUCUGUUCAGUAUUCUUCUUCUCCUCCUCUGUUCAGUAUUCUUCUUCUCCUCCUCUGUUCAGUAUUCUUCUUCUUCUUCUCCUCCUCUGUUCAGUAUUCUUCUUCUUCUCCUCCUCUGUUCAGUAUUCUUCUUCUCCUCCUCCUCCUCUGUUCAGUAUUCUUCUUCUCCUCCUCUGUUCAGUAUUCUUCUUCUUCUUCUCCUCCUCUGUUCAGUAUUCUUCUUCUCCUCCUCCUCUGUUCAGUAUUCUUCUUCUUCUCCUCCUCUGUUCAGUAUUCUUCUUCUCCUCCUCCUCCUCUGUUCAGUAUUCUUCUUCUCCUCCUCCUCUGUUCAGUAUUCUUCUUCUCCUCCUCCUCCUCUGUUCAGUAUUCUUCUUCUCCUUCUCCUCCUCUGUUCAGUAUUCUUCUUCUUCUUCUCCUCCUCUGUUCAGUAUUCUUCUUCUCCUCCUCCUCUGUUCAGUAUUCUUCUUCUCCUCCUCCUCUGUUCAGUAUUCUUCUUCUCCUCCUCUGUUCAGUAUUCUUCUUCUUCUCCUCCUCCUCUGUUCAGUAUUCUUCUUCUUCUCCUCCUCCUCCUCUGUUCAGUAUUCUUCUUCUCCUCCUCCUCCUCUGUUCAGUAUUCUUCUUCUUCUCCUCCUCCUCUGUUCAGUAUUCUUCUUCUUCUUCUCCUCUGUUCAGUAUUCUUCUUCUCCUCCUCUGUUCAGUAUUCUUCUUCUCCUCCUCCUCCUCUGUUCAGUAUUCUUCUUCUUCUUCUCCUCCUCUGUUCAGUAUUCUUCUUCUUCUCCUCCUCCUCUGUUCAGUAUUCUUCUUCUUCUCCUCCUCCUCCUCUGUUCAGUAUUCUUCUUCUCCUCCUCCUCCGUUCAGUAUUCUUCUUCUUCUCCUCCUCCUCUGUUCAGUAUUCUUCUUCUUCUUCUCCUCUGUUCAGUAUUCUUCUUCUCCUCCUCUGUUCAGUAUUCUUCUUCUCCUCCUCCUCCUCUGUUCAGUAUUCUUCUUCUUCUCCUCCUCCUCUGUUCAGUAUUCUUCUUCUCCUCCUCCUCCUCUGUUCAGUAUUCUUCUUCUUCUCCUCCUCCUCUGUUCAAUAUUCUUCUUCUUCUCCUCCUCCUCUGUUCAGUAUUCUUCUUCUCCUCCUCCUCCUCUGUUCAGUAUUCUUCUUCUUCUCCUCCUCCUCUGUUCAGUAUUCUUCUUCUCCUCCUCUGUUCAGUAUUCUUCUUCUCCUCCUCUGUUCAGUAUUCUUCUUCUCCUCCUCUGUUCAGUAUUCUUCUUCUCCUCCUCUGUUCAGUAUUCUUCUUCUCCUCCUCUGUUCAGUAUUCUUCUUCUCCUCCUCUGUUCAGUAUUCUUCUUCUCCUCCUCCUCCUCUGUUCAGUAUUCUUCUUCUCCUCCUCCUCUGUUCAGUAUUCUUCUUCUUCUUCUUCUCCUCCUCUGUUCAGUAUUCUUCUUCUUCUCCUCCUCCUCUGUUCAGUAUUCUUCUCCUCCUCCUCUGUUCAGUAUUCUUCUUCUUCUUCUUCUCCUCCUCUGUUCAGUACUCUCCUUCUCCUCCUCUGUUCAUUCUUCUUCUUCUCCUCCUCCUCCUCCUCAUCAUCUGUUCAGUAUUCUUCUUCUCCUCCUCUGUUCAGUAUUCUUCUUGUCCUCCUCCUCCUCUGUUCAGUAUUCUUCUCCUCCUCCUCUGUUCAGUAUUCUUCUUCUUCUCCUCCUCCUCUGUUCAGUAUUCUUCUUCUUCUCCUCCUCCUCUGUUCAGUAUUCUUCUCCUCCUCCUCUGUUCAGUAUUCUUCUUCUUAUUCUCCUCUGUUCAGUAUUCUUCUUCUCCUCCUCCUCCUCUGUUCAGUAUUCUUCUUCUUCUCCUCCUCCUCCUCUGUUCAGUAUUCUUCUUCUUCUCCUCCUCCUCCUCUGUUCAGUAUUCUUCUUCUCCUCCUCCUCCUCUGUUCAGUAUUCUUCUUCUUCUCCUCCUCUGUUCAGUAUUCUUCUUCUUCUCCUCCUCCUCUGUUCAGUAUUCUUCUUCUUCUCCUCCUCCUCUGUUCAGUAUUCUUCUCCUCCUCCUCUGUUCAGUAUUCUUCUUCUUAUUCUCCUCCUCUGUUCAGUAUUCUUCUUCUCCUCCUCCUCCUCUGUUCAGUAUUCUUCUUCUUCUCCUCCUCCUCUGUUCAGUAUUCUUCUUCUUCUCCUCCUCCUCUGUUCAUUAUUCUUCUUCUCCUCCUCCUCCUCUGUUCAGUAUUCUUCUCCUCCUCCUCCUCUGUUCAGUAUUCUUCUUCUUCUCCUCCUCCUCUGUUCAGUAUUCUUCUCCUCCUCCUCCUCUGUUCAGUAUUCUUCUCCUCCUCCUCCUCUGUUCAGUAUUCUUCUUCUUCUCCUCCUCUGUUCAGUAUUCUUCUUCUUCUUCUCCUCCUCUGUUCAGUAUUCUUCUUCUCCUCCUCCUCUGUUCAUUAUUCUUCUUCUCCUCCUCCUCCUCUGUUCAGUAUUCUUCUCCUCCUCCUCCUCUGUUCAGUAUUCUUCUUCUUCUCCUCCUCCUCUGUUCAGUAUUCUUCUCCUCCUCCUCCUCUGUUCAGUAUUCUUCUCCUCCUCCUCCUCUGUUCAGUAUUCUUCUUCUCCUCCUCUGUUCAGUAUUCUUCUUCUUCUUAUUCUCCUCUGUUCAGUAUUCUUCUUCUCCUCCUCCUCCUCUGUUCAGUAUUCUUCUUCUUCUCCUCCUCCUCUGUUCAGUAUUCUUCUUCUUCUCCUCCUCCUCUGUUCAGUAUUCUUCUCCUCCUCCUCUGUUCAGUAUUCUUCUUCUCCUCCUCCUCCUCUGUUCAGUAUUCUUCUUCUUCUCCUCCUCCUCUGUUCAGUAUUCUUCUUCUUCUCCUCCUCUGUUCAGUAUUCUUCUUCUUCUUCUCCUCCUCUGUUCAGUAUUCUUCUUCUCCUCCUCCUCUGUUCAGUAUUCUUCUCCUCCUCCUCCGUUCAGUAUUAUUCUUCUUCUCCUCCUCUGUUCAGUAUUCUUCUUCUCCUCCUCUGUUCAGUAUUCUUCUUCUCCUCCUCCUCCUCUGUUCAGUAUUCUUCUUCUUCUCCUCCUCUGUUCAGUAUUCUUCUUCUCCUCCUCCUCCUCUGUUCAGUAUUAUUCUUCUUCUCCUCCUCUGUUCAGUAUUCUUCUUCUCCUCCUCUGUUCAGUAUUCUUCUUCUCCUCCUCUGUUCAGUAUUCUUCUCCUCCUCCUCCUCUGUUCAGUAUUCUUCUUCUCCUCCUCCUCUGUUCAGUAUUCUUCUCCUCCUCCUCUGUUCAGUAUUCUUCUUCUCCUCCUCCUCCUCUGUUCAGUAUUCUUCUCCUCCUCCUCUGUUCAGUAUUCUUCUUCUCCUCCUCCUCUGUUCAGUAUUCUUCUUCUCCUCCUCCUCUGUUCAGUAUUCUUCUUCUCCUCCUCCUCUGUUCAGUAUUCUUCUUCUUAUUCUCCUCCUCUGUUCAGUAUUCUUCUUCUCCUCCUCCUCCUCUGUUCAGUAUUCUUCUUCUCCUCCUCCUAUGUUCAGUAUUCUUCGUCCAGAGAGGUCUUCUUCACAUGGGGGACUGUGAAGGUUGGAGCCAGGGGUAGAGAAUGA
This 6615-nucleotide long non-coding RNA is filed under the name Oncorhynchus mykiss (rainbow trout). RNAcentral's name for it is "lncRNA (ENSOMYG00000070870.1)". Lineage: Eukaryota; Metazoa; Chordata; Actinopteri; Salmoniformes; Salmonidae. The record is from RNAcentral.